This 427-nucleotide ribosomal RNA is filed under the name uncultured bacterium. RNAcentral describes it as "partial 16S ribosomal RNA". It matches the Rfam family "Bacterial small subunit ribosomal RNA", at positions 355 to 774 of the family's 1533-position model. The record is from RNAcentral.
UGGGGAAUAUUGCACAAUGGGCGCAAGCCUGAUGCAGCCAUGCCGCGUGUAGGAAGAAGGCCUUCGGGUUGUAAAGUACUUUCAGCGGGGAGGAAGGGAGUAAAGUUAAUACCUUUGCUCAUUGACGUUACCCGCAGAAGAAGCACCGGCUAACUCCGUGCCAGCAGCCGCGGUAAUACGGAGGGUGCAAGCGUUAAUCGGAAUUACUGGGCGUAAAGCGCACGCAGGCGGUUUGUUAAGUCAGAUGUGAAAUCCCCGGGCUCAACCUGGGAACUGCAUCUGAUACUGGCAAGCUUGAGUCUCGUAGAGGGGGGUAGAAUUCCAGGUGUAGCGGUGAAAUGCGUAGAGAUCUGGAGGAAUACCGGUGGCGAAGGCGGCCCCCUGGACGAAGACUGACGCUCAGGUGCGAAAGCGUGGGGAGCAAACA